GGUUUAGGAUUUGAUUAGGGUUUGAUUUAGGAUUUAGGAUUUAGUUAGGGUUUGGUUUAGGAUUUAGUUUAGAAUUUAGGAUUUAAUUAGGGUUUGAUUUAAGGUUUAGGAUUUAGUUAGGAUUUGGUUUAGGAUUUAAGAUUUGAUUAGGAUUUGGUUUAGGAUUUCGGAUUUGGUUAGGAUUUGAUUUAGGAUUUAGGAUUUGGUUUAGGAUUUAAGGUUUGAUUUAGGAUUUAGGAUUUUAUUAGGAUUUGUUUAGGAUUUAAGAUUUAAUUAGUUUUGGCUUAAAGUUUGAAUGAAGUCGAAUAGGAUUUUAACUAGAAUUAAAUUAAGAUUGAAUUGAUAUGUAUUUGAAAGAUAUUUGUGAUCAUUCUAAUAUUUCUUUAAGAUUUCUUAUUAUUUCUUUGAAAUUUCUUUGAGAUUUCUUUGAAUUUGAUUAAAGUUUGCUUAUCAUUAUUAUAGUCUAAUUAGAGUUUAUUUAGUAUUCUAGUAUAGUUAAGAUUUUAUUGUUAUAAUUUCCAUUCUACCUUCCACAGCUAAGUGUCCAGAGCAUUCUCAAGCAAGACUUCAUGUAUUACGACACCGUAGGU
This 590-nucleotide long non-coding RNA is filed under the name Physcomitrium patens. RNAcentral's name for it is "long non-coding RNA (PPAT_LNC011272)". Lineage: Eukaryota; Viridiplantae; Streptophyta; Bryopsida; Funariales; Funariaceae. The record is from RNAcentral.